Molecule: long non-coding RNA, 662 nt
Organism: Oreochromis niloticus (Nile tilapia)
Lineage: Eukaryota; Metazoa; Chordata; Actinopteri; Cichliformes; Cichlidae
Exons: 4
Source: RefSeq, a predicted model, not a curated record
GUGGUUGUUAAGCAAUGCAAAGUAGCAGGCGAAGUGGGUCAUUCCUCUUGCUGCCUCUGCUGCUCUUUGGCUGUGCUGUGGAGAGGAGCUGCAGUAGAGCACCAGCACAGAUUCUGCGCUCAAGUUGAGAAGUGCUCCGACACAGAUGCUGAGGACUUAACUCGUGUUUAUGGACCGGCAUCGUUUGAAAAAGUCUGUUGUAAAAUGACGCAUCCCCGCUAAAGGCAUUCUGAGGUCCAUUCACCACCAUCCAAUAGUGGGUCGUUUUUUCCUGUAAUAGAAAUCUGUUUGACAACAUUUCACCAUCCAUCACACCCAACCUUGUUCAAGAGGGAGGAAACGAGGGAGGAGGAGGACGAUGGGUACCGAUGGAGUUUCUCCCCAAGCUCUCCUGUGGCUCAGCCUGAGUGGUUUGAGCUCCCUGGUGUCACCCCUAAACCCCGAUGAUCCCAAUGUGUGCAGCCACUGGGAGAGUUAUGCAGUGACUGUGCAGGAGUCUUAUGCCCAUCCAUUUGACCAGGUUUACUACACCCGAUGCACCGACAUCCUCAACUGGUUCAAAUGCACGAGACACAGGUAUGCACAAAGCAACUCUCUUUGUUUAAAGCUGCAGUAUAUUACUGUUUUAAUUCCUUUAACAUUUAAUAUUUUAGGGAUUUUAA